Non-coding RNA from Schistosoma margrebowiei, 45 nucleotides. The record is from Rfam. NCBI's taxonomy places the organism in Eukaryota, Metazoa, Platyhelminthes, Trematoda, Strigeidida, Schistosomatidae.
AUCCAUCUGAUGAGUUCAAAAUUGGACGAAACGCGCGUCCUGGAU